Molecule: ribosomal RNA, 232 nt
Filed under: uncultured bacterium
Lineage: Bacteria
Description: partial 16S ribosomal RNA
Rfam family: Bacterial small subunit ribosomal RNA
Source: RNAcentral
GAUCAUGGCUCAGGAUGAACGCUAGCUACAGGCUUAACACAUGCAAGUCGAGGGGAGACGACAUCGAAAGCUUGCUUUUGAUGGGCGUCGACCGGCGCACGGGUGAGUAACGCGUAUCCAAUCUGCCCACCACUUGGGGAUAACCUUGCGAAAGUAAGACUAAUACCCAAUGAUAUCUCUAGAAGACAUCUGAAAGAGAUUAAAGAUUUAUCGGUGAUGGAUGGGGAUGCGU